AAAUUGAAGAGUUUGAUCAUGGCUCAGAUUGAACGCUGGCGGCAGGCCUAACACAUGCAAGUCGAACGGUAACAGGAAGCAGCUUGCUGCUUCGCUGACGAGUGGCGGACGGGUGAGUAAUGUCUGGGAAACUGCCUGAUGGAGGGGGAUAACUACUGGAAACGGUAGCUAAUACCGCAUAAUGUCGCAAGACCAAAGAGGGGGACCUUCGGGCCUCUUGCCAUCGGAUGUGCCCAGAUGGGAUUAGCUUGU
Molecule: ribosomal RNA, 252 nt
Filed under: Escherichia coli
Lineage: Bacteria; Pseudomonadati; Pseudomonadota; Gammaproteobacteria; Enterobacterales; Enterobacteriaceae
Also listed under: 2 other names
Description: partial 16S ribosomal RNA
Rfam family: Bacterial small subunit ribosomal RNA
Source: RNAcentral